RNAcentral lists this ribosomal RNA (397 nucleotides) under uncultured bacterium. RNAcentral's name for it is "partial 16S ribosomal RNA". It matches the Rfam family "Bacterial small subunit ribosomal RNA", at positions 523 to 918 of the family's 1533-position model. The record is from RNAcentral.
AUACGUAGGUGACAAGCGUUAUCCGGAUUUACUGGGCGUAAAGGGCGUGUAGGCGGUCUUGCAAGUCAGAAGUGAAAUUCCUGAGCUCAACUCGGGCGCUGCUUCUGAAACUGCAGGACUUGAGUGCUGGAGGGGAUAGCGGAAUUCCUAGUGGAGCGGUAAAAUGCGCAGAUAUUAGGAAGAACACCGGUGGCGAAGGCGGCUAUCUGGACAGUAACUGACGCUGAGGCGCGAAAGCGUGGGGAGCAAACAGGAUUAGAUACCCUGGUAGUCCACGCCGUAAACGAUGACUACUAGGUGUAGGGGGUAUCGACUCCCUCUGUGCCGCAGUUAACACAAUAAGUAUUCCGCCUGGGGAGUACGGCCGCAAGGUUGAAACUCAAAUGAAUUGACGGGG